CUGUAGACACGUAGUUUGAUCAGUCGGCUCAGGACGAACGCUGGCGGCGUGCUUCAUACAUGCAAGUCGAACGAGAAGUCACCUUCGGGUGAUGGAAAGUGGCGGACGGGUGAGUAAUGUGUAGAGAAUCUGCCCUUGAGUGGGGGACAACAGUUGGAAACGACUGCUAAUACCGCAUAAGCGCACGGUAUCGCAUGAUACAGUGUGAAAAACUCCGGUGGUAUAAGAUGGACCCGCGUCUGAUUAGCUUGUUGGUGAGGUAACGGCCCACCAAGGCGACGAUCAGUAGCCGGCCUGAGAGGGUGAACGGCCACAUUGGGACUGAGACACGGCCCAAACUCCUACGGGAGGCAGCAGUGGGGAAUAUUGCACAAUGGGGGAAACCCUGAUGCAGCGACGCCGCGUGAGUGAAGAAGUAUUUCGGUAUGUAAAGCUCUAUCAGCAGGGAAGAAGAAAUGACGGUACCUGACUAAGAAGCCCCGGCUAACUACGUG
RNAcentral lists this ribosomal RNA (494 nucleotides) under uncultured bacterium. Its description in RNAcentral is "bacterial SSU rRNA". It matches the Rfam family "Bacterial small subunit ribosomal RNA", at positions 1 to 507 of the family's 1533-position model. The record is from RNAcentral.